Molecule: ribosomal RNA, 489 nt
Filed under: uncultured bacterium
Lineage: Bacteria
Description: partial 16S ribosomal RNA
Rfam family: Bacterial small subunit ribosomal RNA
Source: RNAcentral
GAUGAACGCUAGCUACAGGCUUAACACAUGCAAGUCGAGGGGCAGCAUGAUUGAAGCUUGCUUCAAUCGAUGGCGACCGGCGCACGGGUGAGUAACACGUAUCCAACCUGCCGAUAACUCGGGGAUAGCCUUUCGAAAGAAAGAUUAAUACCUGAUAGUAUAGUAUUUCCGCAUGGUUUCACUAUUAAAGAACUUCGGUUAUCGAUGGGGAUGCGUUCCAUUAGAUAGUUGGCGGGGUAACGGCCCACCAAGUCAACGAUGGAUAGGGGUUCUGAGAGGAAGGUCCCCCACAGUGGAACUGAGACACGGUCCAAACUCCUACGGGAGGCAGCAGUGAGGAAUAUUGGUCAAUGGACGAGAGUCUGAACCAGCCAAGUAGCGUGAAGGAUGACUGCCCUAUGGGUUGUAAACUUCUUUUAUACGGGAAUAAAGUGGAGUAUGCAUACUCCUUUGUAUGUACCGUAUGAAUAAGGAUCGGCUAACUCCGUG